Molecule: non-coding RNA, 261 nt
Filed under: Enterococcus haemoperoxidus
Lineage: Bacteria; Bacillati; Bacillota; Bacilli; Lactobacillales; Enterococcaceae
Description: T-box sequence
Rfam family: T-box leader
About the family: Uncharged tRNA acts as the effector for transcription antitermination of genes in the T-box leader family. T-boxes are found upstream of many aminoacyl-tRNA synthetase genes and some amino acid biosynthetic genes usually in Gram-positive bacteria. The anticodon of a specific tRNA base pairs to a specifier sequence within the T-box motif, and the NCCA acceptor tail of the tRNA base pairs to a conserved bulge in the T-box antiterminator hairpin.
Source: RNAcentral
UAAAACUCAUUGAAAAGAAGAGUACACAAGCAGACAUUGAAAUCUAGCUGAUAAAUUUGCUUUUUAGCUAGAAUGAGAGAGCUUUCGUUUGGUGAAAGAAAGCAAUGAACACUUGUCGAAAAUGAUCUUGGAGAGGAAAAAUCAAUUCGAUUUUUACGGCUGCUACCGUUAACAAGGCACCAAAUCAAGAAGUCGUUCUGCGUUUGGGUUGAGAUGGAUUUUAUUUCCAAUAAAGGUGGUACCGCGACAGUCGCCCUUUAC